This 499-nucleotide ribosomal RNA is filed under the name uncultured bacterium. RNAcentral's name for it is "bacterial SSU rRNA". It matches the Rfam family "Bacterial small subunit ribosomal RNA", at positions 28 to 517 of the family's 1533-position model. The record is from RNAcentral.
GAUGAACGCUAGCGGCAGGCUUAAUACAUGCAAGUCGAGGGGCAGCGCAGGUAGCAAUACUGGGCGGCGACCGGCAAACGGGUGCGGAACACGUACAGAACCUUCCUUUAAGCGGGGGAUAGCCCAGAGAAAUUUGGAUUAAUACCCCAUAGUAUUGUUGGUUGGCAUCAAAUUGACAAUUAAAGAUUUAUCACUUAAAGAUGGCUGUGCGGCUGAUUAGGUAGUUGGUGNGGGUAACGGCCUACCAAGCCUUCGAUCAGUAACUGGUGUGAGAGCACGACCAGUCACACGGGCACUGAGACACGGGCCCGACUCCUACGGGAGGCAGCAGUAAGGAAUAUUGGUCAAUGGACGCAAGUCUGAACCAGCCAUGCCGCGUGAAGGAUGAAGGCCCUCUGGGUUUGUAAACUUUCUUUUAUCUGGGAAGAGAUGCCUUGUUUUCUAACGGGUUUGACGGUACCAGAGGAAUAAGCACCGGCUAACUCCGUGCCAGCAGCCG